GACGAACCGAGCGAACGUUGUUCGGAAUCACUGGGCUUAAAGGGCGCGUAGGCGGGUGCUCAAGUCCGGGGUGAAAUCCUCCAGCUCAACUGGAGAACUGCCUCGGAUACUGGGUGCCUCGAGUGUGGUAGGGGUGCGCGGAACUAUCGGUGGAGCGGUGAAAUGCGUUGAUAUCGAUAGGAACUCCGGUGGCGAAGGCGGCGCACUGGACCACAACUGACGCUGAGGCGCGAAAGCCAGGGGAGCAAACGGG
This 253-nucleotide ribosomal RNA is filed under the name uncultured bacterium. RNAcentral's name for it is "partial 16S ribosomal RNA". It matches the Rfam family "Bacterial small subunit ribosomal RNA", at positions 524 to 776 of the family's 1533-position model. The record is from RNAcentral. RNAcentral also lists the same sequence under 1 other name.